Poecilia latipinna (sailfin molly) is the source of this 991-nucleotide long non-coding RNA. RefSeq lists it as uncharacterized. The transcript has 2 exons. NCBI's taxonomy places the organism in Eukaryota, Metazoa, Chordata, Actinopteri, Cyprinodontiformes, Poeciliidae. The record is from RefSeq and is a predicted model, not a curated record.
CAGGUGUUUCCCCGUAGCGCCUUGGAUUUUAGUGUUUAUCCCAAGUUCCUGGCUUUCUGGUUUCCCCUCGUGAUGCUGUGGAUUUUACCCACUGGUUGCUCGAGUCCCUCUUCGCCUCAGCUGAAGAAUCACUGACAAUUCCUGGUUUCACGGCUGGCAGUCAGAUCGCUCCUCAUCUCUCCUCACAAGAACUUACUUGUCUGCCCUCCAUCACAAGCCUCUUCCAUCUACCUUCAAGGAACUCACAGUCAAAAUCACACUGGAACCUGGAUCAUCUGAAGAACCCCCACCUGCAAAGAUACCACAACCCCAGAGAGAACAGUACUUCUCCCCCUGGCAGAAACCCACCACUUCAAAGUUCUGACGACCCUGGGUUCCCAUCCACAGGACAAGAACCAUACAAUCUCAUAUUUUCAUCAUUGUCAAAAUAAACUAUCUGAUUUCCUAUUUGUAUUUUUGCUCCUGUUCUCCCGAUUGUGUUCUGUCUGUGGGUUAAAAGAUGUGAACCCAACAUGACAAUUUGGAGCUCACAAACAUCAGUGAAAAUACUGCAAAAAUAAUUUGAAUAGCAGCAAAAGCCAAACAUGCCACAAAUGACUAAAUCAAAAUGUACCAAAAGCAGGACGGACUGGCAUAGGAGCUACCGAGAGACUCCAGGUAGAUUCCAGCUGAGAGAUGUGCAGCGGCUUGCUCUUCAUGCAGGGCUGGCCCAAAGUAAUACAUGCUAGAAGUAUUUAAAUUAAGUUAUAGAUAAAACACUCUUUUAUUCAUAUUGUAUUUUUGUUUAGCUGCAGAAGUUUUACAGAAUCUGAGCUGAGUGAUAUGUCACUGUUUUUGUACAGCUACAACUGGAAGCUUCCAGAGCUUCCAGUUGUAGCUCUUGAAGAAGAAACUUUAACAUCUUUUCUGUGCGUUAGAACCUCGCUGCUUCUGAGAACAAUUAAAAAAAUAAAAAAUACAGCAGGGGGGAUUUAAAGUUGCCAAAACUGAA